This is a long non-coding RNA of Aedes aegypti (yellow fever mosquito), 286 nucleotides long. RefSeq lists it as uncharacterized. The record is from RefSeq and is a predicted model, not a curated record. Lineage: Eukaryota; Metazoa; Arthropoda; Insecta; Diptera; Culicidae. The transcript is spliced from 2 exons.
ACAAAAGCCGAGCCGGCAGAGCAAUGACAGUUAGUUUGCUUGAAACUGCACUUCGGAAGUCCAACCGGCGAAUUCUAGAUUAGUGCUGCGAAGUAAAUAAUCCUGAUAUCAAGUGAAGCGAGGUAUGAGUGAAAAUGACCAAGUCUUGGUUUUGAUCGAACAAGCGCAAGAAAACAAAUAUAAACAUCUAACUGGGAAGGCUACUCGCUCGGUCAAACUACAUCCUCCAUGACUUUCAUCAAUCCCCCAGAGAUUUAUAACAUCCGGGGAUCCAUUCCAGAGCAGC